Molecule: long non-coding RNA, 1946 nt
Organism: Labrus mixtus (cuckoo wrasse)
Lineage: Eukaryota; Metazoa; Chordata; Actinopteri; Labriformes; Labridae
Exons: 3
Source: RefSeq, a predicted model, not a curated record
CUAACAGGUCAUCAGACUGAGACCUGGUACUGAUCCUAACUAACAGGUCAUCAGACUGAGACCUGGUCCUGAUCCUAGCUAACAGGUCAUCAGACUGAGACCUGGUACUGAUCCUAACUAACAGGUCAUCAGACUGAGACCUGGUACUGAUCCUAACAGGUCAUCAGACUGAGACCUGGUCCUGAUCCUAACAGGUCUUCAGACUGAGACCUGGUCCUGAUCCUAACAGGUCAUCAGACUGAGACCUGGUACUGAUCCUAACAGGUCAUCAGACUGAGACCUGGUACUGAUCCUAACAGGUCUUCAGACUGAGACCUGGUCCUGAUCCUAACAGGUCAUCAGACUGAGACCUGGUACUGAUCCUAACAGGUCAUCAGACUGAGACCUGGUCCUGAUCCUAGCUAACAGGUCAUCAGACUGAGACCUGGUACUGAUCCUAACUAACAGGUCAUCAGACUGAGACCUGGUCCUGAUCCUAACAGGUCAUCAGACUGAGACCUGGUCCUGAUCCUAACAGGUCAUCAGACUGAGACCUGGUCCUGAUCCUAACAGGUCUUCAGACGGAGACCUGGUACUGAUCCUAACAGGUCAUCAGACUGAGACCUGGUCCUGAUCCUAGCUAACAGGUCAUCAGACUGAGACCUGGUACUGAUCCUAACUAACAGGUCAUCAGACUGAGACCUGGUACUGAUCCUAGCUAACAGGUCAUCAGACUGAGACCUGGUACUGAUCCUAACAGGUCAUCAGACUGAGACCUGGUACUGAUCCUAGCUAACAGGUCAUCAGACUGGGACCUGGUCCUGAUCCUAACAGGUCAUCAGACUGAGACCUGGUACUGAUCCUAGCUAACAGGUCAUCAGACUGGGACCUGGUCCUGAUCCUAACAGGUCAUCAGACUGAGACCUGGUCCUGAUCCUAGCUAACAGGUCAUCAGACUGAGACCUGGUCCUGAUCCUAACAGGUCAUCAAACUGAGACCUGGUACUGAUCCUAACAGGUCAUCAGACUGAGACCUGGUACUGAUCCUAACUAACAGGUCAUCAGACUGAGACCUGGUACUGAUCCUAACAGGUCAUCAGACUGAGACCUGGUCCUGAUCCUAACAGGUCUUCAGACGGAGACCUGGUACUGAUCCUAACAGGUCAUCAGACUGAGACCUGGUCCUGAUCCUAGCUAACAGGUCAUCAGACUGAGACCUGGUACUGAUCCUAACUAACAGGUCAUCAGACUGAGACCUGGUACUGAUCCUAACAGGUCAUCAGACUGAGACCUGGUCCUGAUCCUAACAGGUCUUCAGACUGAGACCUGGUCCUGAUCCUAACAGGUCAUCAGACUGAGACCUGGUACUGAUCCUAACAGGUCAUCAGACUGAGACCUGGUCCUGAUCCUAACAGGUCUUCAGACUGAGACCUGGUCCUGAUCCUAACAGGUCAUCAGACUGAGACCUGGUACUGAUCCUAACAGGUCAUCAGACUGAGACCUGGUCCUGAUCCUAGCUAACAGGUCAUCAGACUGAGACCUGGUCCUGAUCCUAACAGGUCAUCAAACUGAGACCUGGUACUGAUCCUAACAGGUCAUCAGACUGAGACCUGGUACUGAUCCUAACUAACAGGUCAUCAGACUGAGACCUGGUCCUGAUCCUAACAGGUCAUCAGACUGAGACCUGGUCCUGAUCCUAACAGGUCUUCAGAUGGAGACCUGGUACUGAUCCUAACAGGUCAUCAGACUGAGACCUGGUCCUGAUCCUAGCUAACAGGUCAUCAGACUGAGACCUGGUACUGAUCCUAACAGGUCAUCAGACUGAGACCUGGUCCUGAUCCUAACAGGUCAUCAGACUGAGACCUGGUACUGAUCCUAGCUAACAGGUCAUCAGACUGGGACCUGGUCCUGAUCCUAACAGGUCAUCAGACUGAGACCUGGUACUGAUCCUAGCUAACAGGUCAUCAG